CACACACACACCCAUCAUCCAGCACACACACCCAUCAUCCAGCACUCACACACACCCAUCAUCCAGCACUCACACACAUCAAUCAUCCAGCACUCACACACAUCAAUCAUCCAGCACACACACACCAUCCAGCACACACACACACACCCAUCAUCCAGCACACACACACACACCCAUCAUCCAGCACACACACACACCCAUCAUCCAGCACUCACACACACCCAUCAUCCAGCGCGCGCACACACACA
This is a non-coding RNA of Pelobates cultripes (western spadefoot toad), 248 nucleotides long. The record is from the annotation of a GenBank genome assembly. NCBI's taxonomy places the organism in Eukaryota, Metazoa, Chordata, Amphibia, Anura, Pelobatidae.